UACGUAGGGUGCAAGCGUUAAUCGGAAUUACUGGGCGUAAAGCGUGCGCAGGCGGUUAUGCAAGACAGAUGUGAAAUCCCCGGGCUCAACCUGGGAACUGCAUUUGUGACUGUAUAGCUAGAGUACGGUAGAGGGGGAUGGAAUUCCGCGUGUAGCAGUGAAAUGCGUAGAUAUGCGGAGGAACACCGAUGGCGAAGGCAAUCCCCUGGACCUGUACUGACGCUCACGCACGAAAGCGUGGGGAGCAAACAGG
Molecule: ribosomal RNA, 253 nt
Filed under: uncultured bacterium
Lineage: Bacteria
Description: partial 16S ribosomal RNA
Rfam family: Bacterial small subunit ribosomal RNA
Source: RNAcentral